CCUACGUGGAGCAGCAGUGGGGAAUAUUGCGCAAUGGGCGAAAGCCUGACGCAGCGACGCCGCGUGAGGGAUGAAGGUCUUCGGAUCGUAAACCUCUGUCAGCAGGGAAGAACGGUCACUGUGCUAAUCAGCAGUGAAUUGACGGUACCUGCAAAGGAAGCACCGGCUAACUCCGUGCCAGCAGCCGCGGGAAUACGGAGGGUGCGAGCGUUAAUCGGAAUUACUGGGCGUAAAGCGCUCGUAGGCGGUAUGUCAAGUCAAGGGUGAAAUCCCCGCGCUCAACGUGGGAACUGCCUUUGAAACUGGCAAACUGGAGUGUGGGAGAGGAUAGUGGAAUUCCAGGUGUAGGAGUGAAAUCCGUAGAUAUCUGGAGGAACAUCAGUGGCGAAGGCGACUAUCUGGCACAUAACUGACGCUGAGGAGCGAAAGCGUGGGUAGCAAACAGGAUUAGAUACCCCUGUAGUC
RNAcentral lists this ribosomal RNA (465 nucleotides) under uncultured bacterium. RNAcentral's name for it is "partial 16S ribosomal RNA". It matches the Rfam family "Bacterial small subunit ribosomal RNA", at positions 338 to 795 of the family's 1533-position model. The record is from RNAcentral.